RNAcentral lists this transfer RNA (74 nucleotides) under Patagioenas fasciata monilis. It matches the Rfam family "tRNA". From Rfam's summary of the family: Transfer RNA (tRNA) molecules are approximately 80 nucleotides in length. The record is from Rfam by way of RNAcentral. Lineage: Eukaryota; Metazoa; Chordata; Aves; Columbiformes; Columbidae.
AAGAAAGAAGCAUAAGUGUUUUGAUGUAGUUGGCUUGAAACCAGUGUACGAGGGUUCGAUUCCUUCCUUCCUUG